UCCCGAAGAAUGUCGAUUUGGAGUUGUGCCCUUGAGGCGUGGCUUCCGGAGCUAACGCGUUAAAUCGACCGCCUGGGGAGUACGGCCGCAAGGUUAAAACUCAAAUGAAUUGACGGGGGCCCGCACAAGCGGUGGAGCAUGUGGUUUAAUUCGAUGCAACGCGAAGAACCUUACCUGGUCUUGACAUCCACAGAACUUUCCAGAGAUGGAUUGGUGCCUUCGGGAACUGUGAGACAGGUGCUGCAUGGCUGUCGUCAGCUCGUGUUGUGAAAUGUUGGGUUAAGUCCCGCAACGAGCGCAACCCUUAUCCUUUGUUGCCAGCGGUCCGGCCGGGAACUCAAAGGAGACUGCCAGUGAUAAACUGGAGGAAGGUGGGGAUGACGUCAAGUCAUCAUGGCCCUUACGACCAGGGCUACACACGUGCUACAAUGGCAUAUACAAAGAGAAGCGACCUCGCGAGAGCAAGCGGACCUCAUAAAGUAUGUCGUAGUCCGGAUUGGAGUCUGCAACUCGACUCCAUGAAGUCGGAAUCGCUAGUAAUCGUAGAUCAGAAUGCUACGGUGAAUACGUUCCCGGGCCUUGUACACACCGCCCGUCACACCAUGGGAGUGGGUUGCAAAAGAAGUAGGUAGCUUAACCUUCGGGAGGGCGCUUACCACUUUGUGAUUCAUGACUGGGGUGAAGUCGUAACAAGGGUAACCA
This 702-nucleotide ribosomal RNA is filed under the name Azotobacter vinelandii. RNAcentral describes it as "bacterial SSU rRNA". It matches the Rfam family "Bacterial small subunit ribosomal RNA", at positions 800 to 1502 of the family's 1533-position model. Lineage: Bacteria; Pseudomonadati; Pseudomonadota; Gammaproteobacteria; Pseudomonadales; Pseudomonadaceae. The record is from RNAcentral.